Gallus gallus (chicken) is the source of this 1303-nucleotide long non-coding RNA. RefSeq lists it as uncharacterized. The transcript has 2 exons. Lineage: Eukaryota; Metazoa; Chordata; Aves; Galliformes; Phasianidae. The record is from RefSeq and is a predicted model, not a curated record.
GUGCGCAUGCGCGGGGGUGGGAGCAGCGGGAGGGGGUUUGGGGCGUCCGGAAUGGCUGCGGGGCGGGUAUGGAGGGGCGGCGGGUGGCUGUCAGGGGACGGGACGGGGCUGUCAGCGAGGGGCGGCGUUCGGAGACGAGGAGCCGGCUGGUGGGUUCUGAGUGAAAGCCCUCUGGAAAGAGCAAGAGAUGCACGGAGGUGCCGGGGUUCCUUAGAAGCCCCUUUGCUGCUUCCCGCUGAGAAGUUUGGGGCAGAUCUCAAAAUGCGAACACGUUCUUAAGCUCUGUUGGGGGUGAUGGGAUAUCAGCCUGGUUGUGUGCUCUGCAGCUCACACGUGUUUGCCAGCCUCCACCCAGAGCUGGUUAAAAUUGCAGGCAGGAGGAGCAGAAGAUGUGAGGGUUAAGCACUGGGAAGGUAGAGCCGCCCUCCCCCCUUCUUCAUAACGUCUGUGGGGUGGGAGGAUUGAAAAGCUCUUAAUGAUGCAGAGCUGUGGUUUGAAACCAGAGAUUCGGUGUAUGAAUUUUUUAUAGGUCUUGUGACUGGAAGUUGAAAUGCCUGGGUGUUUAACAGAGCAUUUCUAUAGAAAUACCAGAGAGGUCAUUGGGACAGAACUGCAUCUGCCCUGUUACAGGCCUUUACCAUGGCUAAUGUGGGCAUAUGCAAUAAGAAAAUGUUGAAUUUGCAACUAAAUGGCUUUACAGGAAUGGAAUAAUAUAUUCAGAGAGGCAAUAACAGCUUUAGUUUGGGGUCAGGAGGAACAUCAGAUAAACGUUCAUUUGAGCUUUUUCCUCUGUUAAGCAAGCAGAAGAGAAAAACUGGCACAUUUGAUGCACCUGGUGGCAGCUUAAGGGUCUGAAGCACUGAGCUCAGUAAUCGCUUUUAUCCUUUCCCAGGGACAUUUUUAUCGAGGGCUGUGUAAUCUCGGAGACACGUCAUGAACAAGAACUGGGAGGGUUUCAGCAUUUUCACUGAUGACGACAGAAUAUCAGAAUUAGCAGCAAAUAACGUUAACGUGGGUGCAAAAAACGUUGUGUAACGCUACAAAGAUUGCUGGAAGUUGCACUGAUGACAGAUUGCUGUGGUACAUCCCUUCCUUUCAACUGUCCUGAGGGUUCUACCAUCGAGAGAGCACUACAGCUGUCUGGUCUGGUUCUGAAGAUCCGUGAGAAGAACAAAAAGAAAUACAGUGAUUAGGACUGCCUGCACUUCUGGCUUUGAACUCUGCCAAGCACAAGGUCGCCUACUUAUUAGGUGGUUCUUCAUUUUACUGGAGUGAACCUCAUUAAAAACACUGAAGCUUUAAA